This 328-nucleotide ribosomal RNA is filed under the name uncultured soil bacterium. RNAcentral describes it as "bacterial SSU rRNA". It matches the Rfam family "Bacterial small subunit ribosomal RNA", at positions 26 to 359 of the family's 1533-position model. The record is from RNAcentral.
AGAUUGAACGCUGGCGGCAUGCUUUACACAUGCAAGUCGAACGGUAACAGGCCGCAAGGUGCUGACGAGUGGCGAACGGGUGAGUAAUGCAUCGGAACGUGCCCAGUCGUGGGGGAUAACGCAGCGAAAGCUGUGCUAAUACCGCAUACGAUCUAUGGAUGAAAGCGGGGGACCGAAAGGCCUCGCGCGAUUGGAGCGGCCGAUGUCAGAUUAGCUAGUUGGUGGGGUAAAGGCCCACCAAGGCGACGAUCUGUAGCUGGUCUGAGAGGACGACCAGCCACACUGGAACUGAGACACGGUCCAGACUCCUACGGGAGCAGCAGUGGGG